RNAcentral lists this transfer RNA (76 nucleotides) under Pseudomonadota bacterium. RNAcentral's name for it is "tRNA-Ala". It matches the Rfam family "tRNA". From Rfam's summary of the family: Transfer RNA (tRNA) molecules are approximately 80 nucleotides in length. Lineage: Bacteria; Pseudomonadati; Pseudomonadota. RNAcentral also lists the same sequence under 5 other names. The record is from RNAcentral.
GGGGAUGUAGCUCAAUUGGGAGAGCGCCGCGUUCGCAAUGCGGAGGUUAGGGGUUCGAUCCCCCUCAUCUCCACCA